Molecule: ribosomal RNA, 423 nt
Filed under: uncultured bacterium
Lineage: Bacteria
Description: bacterial SSU rRNA
Rfam family: Bacterial small subunit ribosomal RNA
Source: RNAcentral
CUCAACCGGGGAACAGCGCAUGAAACUGGCGAACUAGAGUACGGAAGAGGGAGGUGGAAUUCCAGGUGUAGCGGUGAAAUGCGUAGAUAUCUGGAGGAACACCGGUGGCGAAGGCGGCCUCCUGGUCCGAUACUGACGCUGAGACGCGAAAGCGUGGGUAGCAAACAGGAUUAGAUACCCUGGUAGUCCACGCUGUAAACGAUGGGCACUAGGUGUCCGGGGUAUUGACCCCCUGGGUGCCGCAGUUAACGCAUUAAGUGCCCCGCCUGGGGACUACGGUCGCAAGACUAAAACUCAAAGGAAUUGACGGGGGCCCGCACAAGCGGUGGAGCAUGUGGUUCAAUUCGACGCAACGCGAAGAACCUUACCUGGGCUAGACAACGGUGGACCGCCCCAGAGAUGGGGUUUUCCCUUCGGGGACUG